AGUCCAUGAUGUGGGACCUUCCUCAAUAGUUCCUUGUAGCGCUCCCAUGACUUAUAUAAUGAUUCCCCAUCUUGCUGAGUGAAAGUUGUGAUGUCAUUCCACAUAUU
Molecule: small nucleolar RNA, 107 nt
Filed under: Nelumbo nucifera (sacred lotus)
Lineage: Eukaryota; Viridiplantae; Streptophyta; Magnoliopsida; Proteales; Nelumbonaceae
Description: Plant small nucleolar RNA R71
Rfam family: Plant small nucleolar RNA R71
About the family: R71 is a member of the C/D box family of snoRNAs containing the C (UGAUGA) and D (CUGA) box motifs. Multiple nearly identical copies of this snoRNA have been identified in Arabidopsis, and it is thought to function as a 2'-O-ribose methylation guide for 18S ribosomal RNA.
Source: Rfam by way of RNAcentral